AUACGAGGGGUGCAAGUGUUGUUCGGAAUUACUGGGCGUAAAGGGAGCGUAGGCGGAAAGUCAAGUCAGAGGUGAAAGCCCUAGGCUCAACCUAGGAACUGCCUUUGAUACUAACAGUCUAGAGGCCGAGAGAGGAUGGCGGAAUUCCCAGUGUAGAGGUGAAAUUCGUAGAUAUUGGGAAGAACACCAGUGGCGAAGGCGGCCAUCUGGAUCGGUUCUGACGCUGAGGCGCGAAAGCGUGGGGAGCAAACAGAAUUAGAUACCCCGGUAGUCC
RNAcentral lists this ribosomal RNA (274 nucleotides) under uncultured bacterium. RNAcentral describes it as "partial 16S ribosomal RNA". It matches the Rfam family "Bacterial small subunit ribosomal RNA", at positions 523 to 796 of the family's 1533-position model. The record is from RNAcentral.